CUCCUCAGGCCUCCUCCCUCCCUCAUUGUCUCCCCUAACACCGUCACCUUCCCCCUUCUGCCGUCUCAAGAAGGGAAUGCAGACCGUGGGAGAUGCGAAGGGGUGGCGUAGGCCGGGCUGAAGAGCAAGUGUGGAAAUCGGAGUGGAACCCUUGGACGUGGGGAGAAUGCAGGACAGCUGGAGUGAAAGCUGGCAAGAAUGUAAGGAAGAAUGUGGGGGCGAAUGGGGGGUAGGAUUCAGGUCAGGAUGGAAGGGUGUUCCCAUUCUCCUCUCCUCCUGCCUGUAUGAGCUGCUGUGGCGGAGUCUGAACUGUCCAUGCUCCCAUGGAGUCCAGCUCCAUGGGAGGAGGCACGUCUGUGUGUAGCUUUGUGGAGUCAUGGCUUUCUACUCCCGACACCAGCUGGGAGUCAAAGGGCUCGGAAGCAAGGAGCAGGUCGUGACCUUGUGAGAUGGAACCCCCCCCUCAGCGUGGACAGCACAGAGCCUGCUUGGGAUUCUCUCUCUCCUUCUGUCUCUGCCCCUCCCCUCCUCACGUGUUCUCUCU
Panthera uncia (snow leopard) is the source of this 544-nucleotide long non-coding RNA. RefSeq lists it as uncharacterized. The record is from RefSeq and is a predicted model, not a curated record. The transcript has 2 exons. NCBI's taxonomy places the organism in Eukaryota, Metazoa, Chordata, Mammalia, Carnivora, Felidae.